RNAcentral lists this ribosomal RNA (495 nucleotides) under uncultured bacterium. Its description in RNAcentral is "partial 16S ribosomal RNA". It matches the Rfam family "Bacterial small subunit ribosomal RNA", at positions 28 to 507 of the family's 1533-position model. The record is from RNAcentral.
GACGAACGCUGGCGGCGUGCCUAAUACAUGCAAGUAGAACGCUGAAGGAGGAGCUUGCUUCUCUGGAUGAGUUGCGAACGGGUGAGUAACGCGUAGGUAACCUGCCUGGUAGCGGGGGAUAACUAUUGGAAACGAUAGCUAAUACCGCAUAAGAGUAGAUGUUGCAUGACAUUUACUUAAAAGGUGCAAUUGCAUCACUACCAGAUGGACGUGCGUUGUAUUAGCUAGUUGGUGAGGUAACGGCUCACCAAGGCAACGAUACAUAGCCGACCUGAGAGGGUGAACGGCCAAACUGGGACUGAGACACGGCCCAGACUCCUACGGGAGGCAGCAGGAGGGAAUCUUCGGCAAUGGACGGAAGGCUGACCGAGCAACGCCGCGUGAGUGAAGAAGGUUUUCGGAUCGUAAAGCUCUGUUGUAAGAGAAGAACGAGUGUGAGAGUGGAAAGUUCACACUGUGACGGUAUCUUACCAGAAAGGGACGGCUAACUACGUG